AUUGAACGCUGGCGGCAGGCCUAACACAUGCAAGUCGAGCGGAUGAAGGGAUCUUGCUCCUGGAUUCAGCGGCGGACGGGUGAGUAAUGCCUAGGAAUCUGCCUGGUAGUGGGGGAUUACUUCCGGACACGGUCGCUAAUACCGCAUACGUCCUGAGUGAGAAAGUGGGGGAUCUUCGGACCUCACGCUAUCAGAUGAGCCUAGGUCGGAUUAGCUAGUUGGUGGGGUAAAGGCCUACCAAGGCGACGAUCCGUAACUGGUCUGAGAGGAUGAUCAGUCACACUAGAACUGAGAAAAGGUCCAGACGACUACGGGAGGAAGCAGUGGGGAAUAUUGGACAAUGGGCGAAAGACUGAUCAAGCAAUGCCGCGUGUGUGAAGAAGGUCUUCGGAGUGUAAAGAACUUUAAGUGGGGAGGAAGGGCAGUAAGUUAAUACCUUGCUGGUUUGACGUUACCAACAGAAUAAGCACCGGCUAACUUCGUG
This 484-nucleotide ribosomal RNA is filed under the name uncultured bacterium. RNAcentral describes it as "partial 16S ribosomal RNA". It matches the Rfam family "Bacterial small subunit ribosomal RNA", at positions 30 to 507 of the family's 1533-position model. The record is from RNAcentral.